GCGGCGGCGAGGGGAGAAGGGGUCAUUGUCCGCGCGCUGGCCCGGGCGCCGAGGCGUGUCCCUGCCUGCGCCGCGCGGCUACCCCCGUGCCCGGCGCCGCCGACGGGAAGGCAGCGGCGGGGAGGCCCCCUGGAGGCCUGCUGGGAAAUGGCGGCUGGAGCGGCGGGCGCGUGGGUCCCCUCGGGGAGGCGCCCCAAGCCACGGUCCGCUCCCAAAGAGAAGCCCAGACUGGGCCCACAGUACCCGGGAAGGUUGGCAGCACCAACCACCAAGCAGAGUCACAGGC
This 286-nucleotide long non-coding RNA is filed under the name Homo sapiens (human). RNAcentral describes it as "HSALNT0211852". Lineage: Eukaryota; Metazoa; Chordata; Mammalia; Primates; Hominidae. The record is from RNAcentral.